GGGGGAAUAACGUAGACGAAAGCUACGACUAAUACCGCAUACGAUCUAUGGAUAGAAAGGCGGGGGAUCGCAAGACCUCGCGCGAUUGGAGCGGCCGAUAUCAGUAGUUAGGUAGUUGGUGGGUAAAGGCCUACCAAGCCGACGAUCUGUAGCUGGUCUGAGAGGACGACCAGCCACACUGGGACUGAGACACGGCCCAGACUCCUACGGGAGGCAGCAGUGGGGAAUUUUGGACAAUGGGCGCAAGCCUGAUCCAGCAAUGCCGCGUGCAGGAUGAAGGCCUUCGGGUUGUAAACUGCUUUUGUACGGAACGAAACAGCUCUUUCUAAUACAGAGGGCGAAUGACGGUACCGUAAGAAUAAGCACCGGCUAACUACGUG
This 380-nucleotide ribosomal RNA is filed under the name uncultured bacterium. RNAcentral describes it as "bacterial SSU rRNA". It matches the Rfam family "Bacterial small subunit ribosomal RNA", at positions 137 to 507 of the family's 1533-position model. The record is from RNAcentral.